UACGUAGGGUGCAAGCGUUAAUCGGAAUUACUGGGCGUAAAGCGUGCGCAGGCGGUGAUGUAAGUCAGGUGUGAAAUCCCCGGGCUUAACCUGGGAACUGCAUUUGUGACUGCAUCGCUGGAGUGCGGCAGAGGGGGAUGGAAUUCCGCGUGUAGCAGUGAAAUGCGUAGAUAUGCGGAGGAACACCGAUGGCGAAGGCAAUCCCCUGGGCCUGCACUGACGCUCAUGCACGAAAGCGUGAGGAGCAAACAGG
RNAcentral lists this ribosomal RNA (253 nucleotides) under uncultured bacterium. RNAcentral describes it as "partial 16S ribosomal RNA". It matches the Rfam family "Bacterial small subunit ribosomal RNA", at positions 524 to 776 of the family's 1533-position model. The record is from RNAcentral.